This 300-nucleotide small nuclear RNA is filed under the name Meriones unguiculatus (Mongolian gerbil). RNAcentral describes it as "7SK RNA (ENSMUGG00000004489.1)". It matches the Rfam family "7SK RNA". Rfam says of the family: 7SK was discovered as an abundant small nuclear RNA in the mid-70s but a possible function has only recently been suggested. Lineage: Eukaryota; Metazoa; Chordata; Mammalia; Rodentia; Muridae. The record is from RNAcentral.
GAAUGUGAGGGCGAUCUGGCUGCGACAUCUGUCAAACCCAUUGAUCACCAGGGUUGAUUCGGCUGAUCUGGCUGGCUAGGAGGGUGUCCCCUUCCUCCUUCACCACUACAUGUGCGUCCCUCCUGAAGCUGAAGAGGAUGACCUUCCCCGAAUCGAGAAGGACUGGUUUUCGGUCAAGGGUAUAGGAGUAGCUGCACUUCUGCUAGAACCUCCAAACAAGCUCAAGAAAGUGAAAUCAUGGCAACUUCAGGAAAACAUUCAAUGGAGAUCAUUAUAUUAAGUGAAAAAGCAUUAUAUUAA